CGAAAGCCUGACGGAGCAAUACCGCGUGAGGGAAGAAUGCCUAUGGGUUGUAAACCUCUUUUUUCAGGGAGGAAUAAAAUGACGUGUACCUGAAGAAUAAGCAUCGGCUAACUCCGUGCCAGCAGCCGCGGUAAGACGGAGGAUGCAAGUGUUAUCCGGAAUCACUGGGCGUAAAGCGUCUGUAGGUGGUUUAAUAAGUCAACUGUUAAAUCUUGAGGCUCAACUUCAAAAUCGCAGUCGAAACUAUUAGACUAGAGUAUAGUAGGGGUAAAGGGAAUUUCCAGUGGAGCGGUGAAAUGCGUAGAUAUUGGAAAGAACACCGAUGGCGAAGGCACUUUACUGGGCUAUUACUGACACUCAGAGACGAAAGCUAGGGUAGCAGAUG
Molecule: ribosomal RNA, 385 nt
Filed under: uncultured bacterium
Lineage: Bacteria
Description: bacterial SSU rRNA
Rfam family: Bacterial small subunit ribosomal RNA
Source: RNAcentral